Molecule: ribosomal RNA, 441 nt
Filed under: uncultured bacterium
Lineage: Bacteria
Description: partial 16S ribosomal RNA
Rfam family: Bacterial small subunit ribosomal RNA
Source: RNAcentral
CCUACGGGAGGCAGCAGUGGGGAAUAUUGCACAAUGGGGGAAACCCUGAUGCAGCAAUGCCGCGUGAGUGAGGAAGUAUUUCGGUAUGUAAAGCUCUAUCAGCAGGGAAUAGAGAAGAAGGUACCUGAAAAAGAAGCACCGGCUUACUACGUGCCAGCAGCCGCGGUAAUACGUAGGGGGCAAGCGUUGACCGGAUGUACGGGGUGUAAAGGGAGCGUAGACGGGAAGGGAAGUCAGAAGUGAAAGCCCAAGGCACAACCAUGGGACUGCAUUUGAAACUGGCAGUCUUGAGUACAGUUGAGGUAGGCGGAAUUCGUGGUGUAGCGGUGAAAUGCUUAGAGAUCACGAAGAACUCCGAUUGCGAAGGCAGGUUCCUGGACAUUAACUGACGCUGAGGCGCGAAGGCGAGGGGAGCGAAAGGGAUUAGAUACCCCAGUAGUC